UACGGAGGGGGCUAGCGUUGUUCGGAAUUACUGGGCGUAAAGGGCGCGUAGGCGGUCGUGACAAGUCACUUGUGAAAUCUCCGGGCUUAACUCGGAACGGUCAAGUGAUACUGUCGGACUAGAGUACAGAAGGGGCAACUGGAAUUCUCGGUGUAGCGGUGAAAUGCGUAGAUAUCGAGAGGAACACCUGCGGCGAAGGCGGGUUGCUGGGCUGAUACUGACGCUGAGGCGCGAAAGCCAGGGGAGCGAACGGG
RNAcentral lists this ribosomal RNA (254 nucleotides) under uncultured bacterium. Its description in RNAcentral is "partial 16S ribosomal RNA". It matches the Rfam family "Bacterial small subunit ribosomal RNA", at positions 524 to 776 of the family's 1533-position model. The record is from RNAcentral.